This 466-nucleotide ribosomal RNA is filed under the name uncultured bacterium. RNAcentral's name for it is "partial 16S ribosomal RNA". It matches the Rfam family "Bacterial small subunit ribosomal RNA", at positions 28 to 507 of the family's 1533-position model. The record is from RNAcentral.
GAUGAACGCUGGCGGCGUGCUUAACACAUGCAAGUCGAACGAUGAAGCCCAGCUUGCUGGGUGGUUUAGUGGCGAACGGGUGAGUAACACGUGAGUAACCUGCCCGUAACUCUGGGAUAAGCCUGGGAAACGGGGCCUAAUACCGGAUAGGAGCGUGCACCGCAUGGGGGGUGUUGGAGAGAUUUAUCGGUUUUGGAUGGCUUGGCGGCCUAUCAGCUUGUUGGUGGGGAAAUGGCACACCAAGGCAGAGCCGGGUAGCCGGCAUGAGAGGGUGACCAGCGACAAUGGGACUGAGACACGGCGCAGAGUCCUACGGGAGGCAGUAGUGGGGAAUAUUGCACAGUGGGCGCAAGUCUGAUGCAGCGACGCCGCGUGAGGGAAGACGGCCUUCUGGUUGUAAACCUCUUUCAGUAGAGAAGAAGCGAAAGUGACGGUACCUGCAGAAGAAGCACCGGCUAACUACGUG